RNAcentral lists this ribosomal RNA (1315 nucleotides) under Staphylococcus sp. RNAcentral describes it as "bacterial SSU rRNA". It matches the Rfam family "Bacterial small subunit ribosomal RNA", at positions 56 to 1355 of the family's 1533-position model. The record is from RNAcentral. Lineage: Bacteria; Bacillati; Bacillota; Bacilli; Caryophanales; Staphylococcaceae.
UGCAGUCGAGCGACAGACGAGGAGCUUGCUCCUCUGACGUUAGCGGCGGACGGGUGAGUAACACGUGGAUAACCUACCUAUAAGACUGGGAUAACUUCGGGAAACCGGAGCUAAUACCGGAUAAUAUAUUGAACCGCAUGGUUCAAUAGUGAAAGACGGUUUUGCUGUCACUUAUAGAUGGAUCCGCGCCGCAUUAGCUAGUUGGUAAGGUAACGGCUUACCAAGGCAACGAUGCGUAGCCGACCUGAGAGGGUGAUCGGCCACACUGGAACUGAGACACGGUCCAGACUCCUACGGGAGGCAGCAGUAGGGAAUCUUCCGCAAUGGGCGAAAGCCUGACGGAGCAACGCCGCGUGAGUGAUGAAGGUCUUCGGAUCGUAAAACUCUGUUAUUAGGGAAGAACAAAUGUGUAAGUAACUAUGCACGUCUUGACGGUACCUAAUCAGAAAGCCACGGCUAACUACGUGCCAGCAGCCGCGGUAAUACGUAGGUGGCAAGCGUUAUCCGGAAUUAUUGGGCGUAAAGCGCGCGUAGGCGGUUUUUUAAGUCUGAUGUGAAAGCCCACGGCUCAACCGUGGAGGGUCAUUGGAAACUGGAAAACUUGAGUGCAGAAGAGGAAAGUGGAAUUCCAUGUGUAGCGGUGAAAUGCGCAGAGAUAUGGAGGAACACCAGUGGCGAAGGCGACUUUCUGGUCUGUAACUGACGCUGAUGUGCGAAAGCGUGGGGAUCAAACAGGAUUAGAUACCCUGGUAGUCCACGCCGUAAACGAUGAGUGCUAAGUGUUAGGGGGUUUCCGCCCCUUAGUGCUGCAGCUAACGCAUUAAGCACUCCGCCUGGGGAGUACGACCGCAAGGUUGAAACUCAAAGGAAUUGACGGGGACCCGCACAAGCGGUGGAGCAUGUGGUUUAAUUCGAAGCAACGCGAAGAACCUUACCAAAUCUUGACAUCCUCUGACCCCUCUAGAGAUAGAGUUUUCCCCUUCGGGGGACAGAGUGACAGGUGGUGCAUGGUUGUCGUCAGCUCGUGUCGUGAGAUGUUGGGUUAAGUCCCGCAACGAGCGCAACCCUUAAGCUUAGUUGCCAUCAUUAAGUUGGGCACUCUAAGUUGACUGCCGGUGACAAACCGGAGGAAGGUGGGGAUGACGUCAAAUCAUCAUGCCCCUUAUGAUUUGGGCUACACACGUGCUACAAUGGACAAUACAAAGGGCAGCGAAACCGCGAGGUCAAGCAAAUCCCAUAAAGUUGUUCUCAGUUCGGAUUGUAGUCUGCAACUCGACUAUAUGAAGCUGGAAUCGCUAGUAAUCGAGAUCAGCAU